This 266-nucleotide long non-coding RNA is filed under the name Olea europaea (common olive). Its description in RNAcentral is "long non-coding RNA (OEUR_LNC003568)". Lineage: Eukaryota; Viridiplantae; Streptophyta; Magnoliopsida; Lamiales; Oleaceae. The record is from RNAcentral.
CCUCUCUUCUAUCCAAAAUCAAAAUCAUUUCAUUUAUUUUGAUUUUCCUUCAUUUCAUCCUUGGAGUACAUAAGCCUAAAUUUUGUUCGUUGUACUUGUGUUUUGGAGUGCUACAAACACAAGUGUAGCCGUUGUAUCUUGGGAGUCGAUUGUCGAAAUCCGUAGGCACCGUUGCAGGGCAAAUUCGACUUAAGGACAAAGAGUCCAACUCUUGCCUCGGCUUUGUCCCUACUUUCUUCUUCUUCUUGUUUGUGUUUUCUUUGCCG